AUCUGUUCUUAUCAGUUUAAUAUCUGAUACGUCCCCUACCCGGGGACCAUAUAUUAAGUUGAUUUUUGGAGCAGGGAGAUGGAAUAGGGGCUUGCUCCGUCCACUCCACGCAUCGACCUGGUAUUGCAGUAUUUCUAGGAACGGUGC
Molecule: small nuclear RNA, 147 nt
Filed under: Maylandia zebra (zebra mbuna)
Lineage: Eukaryota; Metazoa; Chordata; Actinopteri; Cichliformes; Cichlidae
Description: U2 spliceosomal RNA (ENSMZEG00005000253.1)
Rfam family: U2 spliceosomal RNA
About the family: U2 is a small nuclear RNA (snRNA) component of the spliceosome (involved in pre-mRNA splicing). Complementary binding between U2 snRNA (in an area lying towards the 5' end but 3' to hairpin I) and the branchpoint sequence (BPS) of the intron results the bulging out of an unpaired adenosine, on the BPS, which initiates a nucleophilic attack at the intronic 5' splice site, thus starting the first of two transesterification reactions that mediate splicing.
Source: RNAcentral